This 2093-nucleotide long non-coding RNA is filed under the name Marmota monax (woodchuck). Lineage: Eukaryota; Metazoa; Chordata; Mammalia; Rodentia; Sciuridae. The record is from RNAcentral.
GGGGCGGCGGCGAGGGCUACAAGUGCUGGCCCGCCAAGAAGGGGAGGGGUUCGCGCGCUGCUUGGCCGGCAACCCUGUGCGCCAAGCCAACUGGUCGGUUUCAGUACCAGCUCAUUUGCUCCACAGGAGACUUAAGGGGCUCGGGACGCUGUAAAACACUUUUCUCACGGUCUACCAGCGUUUGCUGCCCUCCCAGCUCGAAGACCCUGGAACUGGAACCCAUUGGCUCCCAGAUACGGGCUGUGGCCCCAAGAUGCUAGUGCCCAACCAAAGGGGUGGGAAAAGUUGAUCUUCCGCGAGUGAGGGGAAGGUGCAAUUCAUUUUCCCAGACAAGACAACCAAUGGAAUACCUCUCGUCUCUCUUCCCUCCCACCUGCGCAAGGCAGAAGUUAGGAUGGCGCCUUCCAUUUUGGCCUGUGUGCACACGCAAGUGUGGAAGGGGAUCUGUGGGCGGAGGUGACAGCAAAGGCAGUUCUGCAGUCCCGCUCGUCGGCGCUUUGCACCAUAGACCUCUCUGUGGCGUGUAAGAUACCAGGUGCCUGGGUGGAAAUAGGAAUGCCACCUCUGACAGCGCACCCCUCAAGGAACCUCUCCUUCUGAUUAGCUGGGCCCCACCCCGAGCGGGGACCAAACGUGUGUUCUCAGCCUUAACAGAAGAGGAGGAAUCACUAAUUCCACAAACAAAUCCAGGUCCCCGCCGGGUGGCAGGGGAGGGAACUCAGAGGGGAGAGAUGCGCCCCUUGUCUUUCCAGGCUUGCUAGAGCCCUCAACAAAGCACAAAAUAAAGAUGGAGCUGUCAUGUGAGGGCUGCAGACAGUCACAGGGUGCCUGCUGGGACAUGGUAGCUCCAGGAAGGCUCGUGUUAGGAUGUGCAGGGGUAGAUGAAGGCACAGUCCUUCCAGGUAGAACAGCUGGGCAGCCAGAAAAUACAGAAAAUGUCACUUAAGGGUAAUUGAGAGUGACUGGGAUCACAGCUGCCCAGCUGAAGCAUAUCCUGGGGGUGUGGCCUGGCUGAGAAGACUGGUGUGGUAGGGCCCCCAGCACACACCUCAGAGAUCAGUUUUGCCUCUGCAUUCCCUGGGAGAAGUCCCCACUAUCCACCAGGAACCCCAACACCACCUGAGCAAAAGUUUUGCUGCACCACUUAAAUAACAUCUACUACUCAGUUUGUCCCUGCAGACAUUCAACUGCGCAGAGCCCAAGCAAGUUAACUUGGUGAUAAAGCCCAGACUAGUGAAAGUUCUAUUUCUAGUCCUCCCCUUCACUUUGUGACCUUGGGUAAGUUCUUGAAACUCCUGAGCUUCAUCUUCUGUAUUUGUAGAAGAAAUGCAUGUUGUUAACCAUAGAGAGUCCUUAUCAGGAUUCCAUGAGGCAAUAACUACAGGGUAUAAGACCCAAAGGAGGCCAAUGAUGUAGGGAAGGGGUCAUGGGACAUCUCUGGUUCUUGGAUAUGGAAUAGGCUUUGCUCUUUAAAUAUAUGCAUUAGUCCCCAGGAAUAGAUUCAGGUAUGGUCUCCCACCAAGGCAUGUGAGGCUCUCAACCCAGAUAAUUUGGGCUGUAUGAUAUUGUUGGAAAUCCUUAGCCUUUCUAACCUGUUUCCCCAUUUAUAAAUUGGUGGCAGUCUUUCUUCUGGGAUUGUUUGUGAGUUAAAUAGAUCAUAUAUGGAAAAUCUUGUUAUGUGCCUAACCAAGGAGGACUCCGUAUAUAGUGAUACUUUUGUAUUCACCCCACUAACUACCAAUGUCCUAUUGAGAUGGGAAGAGUGCUGCAGAGUUAGACCCCACUUUUUACUCCUUACUCCCCCCACCCAACCCCAAGCAAGUAGAAUUGAAGUAACUGUGUUUGUAACCUGGGUCUUGAGGAGAGACACCACGAGACCAGAGAGUUCAGUGAAAUCAAAUGCUGAAGCCCUAAGACACAGCAAUUAAAGUAUGUUGGAGGGGAAAACAUAUUUUGGGAAACUGAAAUGUGAGAUUUUUUUAAAAAAUGUUAUUUCUAUACUCGUUUUGUUUAUACAUUAGUUGUAUGUAUUGUCAUUUUUGUAAUGUUCUAGUGUAGUUUAAUUUAUUCAGGAAUAAUAGCUAAAUUACUGG